UGGGGAAUAUUGGACAAUGGGCGAAAGCCUGAUCCAGCCAUGCCGCGUGUGUGAAGAAGGUCUUCGGAUUGUAAAGCACUUUAAGUUGGGAGGAAGGGCAGUAAGCGAAUACCUUGCUGUUUUGACGUUACCGACAGAAUAAGCACCGGCUAACUCUGUGCCAGCAGCCGCGGUAAUACAGAGGGUGCAAGCGUUAAUCGGAAUUACUGUGCGUAAAGCGCGCGUAGGUGGUUCGUUAAGUUGAAUGUGAAAGCCCCGGGCUCAACCUGGGAACUGCAUCCAAAACUGGCGAGCUAGAGUAGGGCAGAGGGUGGUGGAAGUUCCUGUGUAGCGGUGAAAUGCGUAGAUAUAGGAAGGAACACCAGUGGCGAAGGCGACCACCUGGGCUCAUACUGACACUGAGGUGCGAAAGCGUGGGGAGCAAACAGG
RNAcentral lists this ribosomal RNA (429 nucleotides) under Pseudomonadota bacterium. RNAcentral's name for it is "Proteobacteria bacterium partial 16S ribosomal RNA". It matches the Rfam family "Bacterial small subunit ribosomal RNA", at positions 355 to 776 of the family's 1533-position model. The record is from RNAcentral. Lineage: Bacteria; Pseudomonadati; Pseudomonadota.